Non-coding RNA from Triticum aestivum (bread wheat), 135 nucleotides. NCBI's taxonomy places the organism in Eukaryota, Viridiplantae, Streptophyta, Magnoliopsida, Poales, Poaceae. The record is from Rfam.
AAAGUACUCCCUCCGUCCGGAAAUACUUGUCAUGAAAAUGGAUAAAAGGGGAUGUAUCUAAACGUAUUUUAGUUCUAGAUACAUCUUUUUUUAUCCAUUUUGAUGAUAAGUAUUUUCGAACGGAGGGAGUAUUAA